RNAcentral lists this small RNA (468 nucleotides) under Fusarium solani. RNAcentral describes it as "eukaryotic LSU rRNA". The stretch from base 129 to 251 matches the Rfam family "5.8S ribosomal RNA". The record is from RNAcentral. Lineage: Eukaryota; Fungi; Ascomycota; Sordariomycetes; Hypocreales; Nectriaceae.
GUUGGCUCGACUACACUCAUCACCCUGCAUACCAACGUUGCUUCGGCGGGAACAGACGGCCCUGUAACAACGGGCCGCCCCCGCCAGAGGACCCCUAACUCUGUUUUUAUAAUGACAAGCAAAAUUAAAACUUUCAACAACGGAUCUCUUGGCUCUGGAAAUGCGAUAAGUAAUGUGAAUUGCGAAUUCAGUGAAUCUGAACGCACAUUGCGCCCGCCAGUAUUCUGGCGGGCAUGCCUGUUCGAGCGUCAUUACAACCCUCAGGCCCCGUACCGGGCCUGGUCACGUUGGGGAUCGGCGGAAGCCCCCUGUGGGCACACGCCGUCCCUCAAAUACAGUGGCGGUCCCGCCGCAGCUUCCAUUGCGCUAACACCUCGCAACUGGAGAGCGGCGCGGCCAUGCCGUAAAACACCCAACUUCAUGUUAGGUAGGAAUACCCGCACUGCAUAUCAAAACCGGGGAAGAAAA